This 899-nucleotide ribosomal RNA is filed under the name uncultured bacterium. RNAcentral describes it as "bacterial SSU rRNA". It matches the Rfam family "Bacterial small subunit ribosomal RNA", at positions 8 to 916 of the family's 1533-position model. The record is from RNAcentral.
AGAGUUUGAUCAUGGCUCAGGACGAACGCUGGCGGCGUGCCUAACACAUGCAAGUCGAGCGAAGUAGGAUGUGUUCUUCGGAAUGCGUUCUACUUAGCGGCGGACGGGUGAGUAACGCGUGAGGAACCUGCCUCUCACAGAGGGAUAGCCUCGGGAAACUGAGGGUAAUACCUCAUGAGACUUAUAUACCGCAUGGUAUAUAAGUUAAAGCGAUUUAGCGGUGAGAGAUGGCCUCGCGUCCCAUUAGCUAGUUGGUGAGGUAACGGCUCACCAAGGCGACGAUGGGUAGCCGGCCUGAGAGGGUGGACGGCCACACUGGAACUGAGACACGGUCCAGACUCCUACGGGAGGCAGCAGUGGGGGAUAUUGCACAAUGGGGGAAACCCUGAUGCAGCGACGCCGCGUGAGCGAAGAAGGCCUUCGGGUCGUAAAGCUCUGUCCUAAGGGAAGAUAAUGACGGUACCUUAGGAGGAAGCCCCGGCUAACUACGUGCCAGCAGCCGCGGUAAAACGUAGGGGGCGAGCGUUGUCCGGAAUUACUGGGCGUAAAGGGUGCGUAGGCGGCUAUUUAAGUCAGAUGUGAAAGGCUACGGCUCAACCGUAGUGAGCAUUUGAAACUGAAUAGCUUGAGUCAAGGAGAGGGAAGUGGAAUUCCUGGUGUAGCGGUGAAAUGCGUAGAUAUCAGGAGGAAUACCAGUGGCGAAGGCGACUUCCUGGCCUUAGACUGACGCUGAGGCACGAAAGCGUGGGGAGCAAACAGGAUUAGAUACCCUGGUAGUCCACGCCGUAAACGAUGAGUGCUAGGUGUUGGGGAGGUUACUCUUCAGUGCCGCAGCUAACGCAAUAAGCACUCCGCCUGGGGAGUACGUACGCAAGUAUGAAACUCAAAGGAAUUGACGG